This 955-nucleotide ribosomal RNA is filed under the name uncultured Paracoccaceae bacterium. Its description in RNAcentral is "bacterial SSU rRNA". It matches the Rfam family "Bacterial small subunit ribosomal RNA", at positions 509 to 1482 of the family's 1533-position model. Lineage: Bacteria; Pseudomonadati; Pseudomonadota; Alphaproteobacteria; Rhodobacterales; Paracoccaceae. The record is from RNAcentral.
CAGCAGCCGCGGUAAUACGGAGGGGGUUAGCGUUGUUCGGAAUUACUGGGCGUAAAGCGCGCGUAGGCGGAUUGGAAAGUUGGGGGUGAAAUCCCAGGGCUCAACCCUGGAACUGCCUCCAAAACUCCCAGUCUUGAGUUCGAGAGAGGUGAGUGGAAUUCCGAGUGUAGAGGUGAAAUUCGUAGAUAUUCGGAGGAACACCAGUGGCGAAGGCGGCUCACUGGCUCGAUACUGACGCUGAGGUGCGAAAGUGUGGGGAGCAAACAGGAUUAGAUACCCUGGUAGUCCACACCGUAAACGAUGAAUGCCAGACGUCGGCUAGCAUGCUAGUCGGUGUCACACCUAACGGAUUAAGCAUUCCGCCUGGGGAGUACGGUCGCAAGAUUAAAACUCAAAGGAAUUGACGGGGCCCGCACAAGCGGUGGAGCAUGUGGUUUAAUUCGAAGCAACGCGCAGAACCUUACCAACCCUUGACAUCCCUAUCGCGGUUUCCAGAGAUGGAUUCAUUCAGAUCGGCUGGAUAGGUGACAGGUGCUGCAUGGCUGUCGUCAGCUCGUGUCGUGAGAUGUUCGGUUAAGUCCGGCAACGAGCGCAACCCACAUCCUUAGUUGCCAGCAGUUCGGCUGGGCACUCUAGGGAAACUGCCCGUGAUAAGCGGGAGGGAGGUGUGGAUGACGUCAAGUCCUCAUGGCCCUUACGGGUUGGGCUACACACGUGCUACAAUGGCGCUCACAGUGGGUUAAUCCCCAAAAGGCGUCUCAGUUCGGAUUGUCGUCUGCAACUCGACGGCAUGAAGUCGGAAUCGCUAGUAAUCGCGGAACAGCAUGCCACGGUGAAUACGUUCCCGGGCCUUGUACACACCGCCCGUCACACCAUGGGAGUUGGUUCUACCUGACGACGCUGCGCUAACCCUUUCGGGAGGCAGGCGGCCACGGUAGGAUCAGCGACUGGGGUG